GACGAACGCUGGCGGCGUGCUUAACACAUGCAAGUCGAACGGAAAGGCCCUGCUUUUGUGGGGUGCUCGAGUGGCGAACGGGUGAGUAACACGUGAGUAACCUGCCCUUGACUUUGGGAUAACUUCAGGAAACUGGGGCUAAUACCGGAUAGGAUCUUCUGCUGCAUGGUGGGGGUUGGAAAGUUUCGGCGGUUGGGGAUGGACUCGCGGCUUAUCAGCUUGUUGGUGGGGUAGUGGCUUACCAAGGCUUUGACGGGUAGCCGGCCUGAGAGGGUGACCGGCCAAAUUGGGACUGAGAUACGGCCCAGACUCCUACGGGAGGCAGCAGUGGGGAAUAUUGCACAAUGGGCGGAAGCCUGAUGCAGCAACGCCGCGUGCGGGAUGAUGGCCUUCGGGUUGUAAACCGCUUUCGCCUGUGACGAAGCGUGAGUGACGGUAAUGGGUAAAGAAGCACCGGCUAACUACGUG
Molecule: ribosomal RNA, 468 nt
Filed under: uncultured bacterium
Lineage: Bacteria
Description: partial 16S ribosomal RNA
Rfam family: Bacterial small subunit ribosomal RNA
Source: RNAcentral